UAGGCCUUAGCUUAAUUAAAGUGUUUGAGUUGCAUUCAGAAGAUGUAUAGAGGAUUAUACAGGUCUU
This 67-nucleotide transfer RNA is filed under the name Takydromus septentrionalis. RNAcentral's name for it is "tRNA-Ala". The record is from RNAcentral. Lineage: Eukaryota; Metazoa; Chordata; Lepidosauria; Squamata; Lacertidae.